GAUGAACGCUGGCGGCGUGCCUAAUACAUGCAAGUUGAGCGAACGGACGAGAAGCUUGCUUCUCUGAUGUUAGCGGCGGACGGGUGAGUAACACGUGGAUAACCUACCUAUAAGACUGGGAUAACUUCGGGAAACCGGAGCUAAUACCGGAUAAUAUUUCGAACCGCAUGGUUCAAAAGUGAAAGACGGUCUUGCUGUCACUUAUAGAUGGAUCCGCGCUGCAUUAGCUAGUUGGUAAGGUAACGGCUUACCAAGGCAACGAUGCAUAGCCGACCUGAGAGGGUGAUCGGCCACACUGGAGCUGAGAAAAGGUCCAGACUCCUACGGGAGGCAGCAGUAGGGAAUCUUCCGCAAUGGGCGAAAGCCUGACGGAGCAACGCCGCGUGAGUGAUGAAGGUCUUCGGAUCGUAAAACUCUGUUAUUAGGGAAGAACAUAUGUGUAAGUAACUGUGCACAGCUUGACGGUACCUAAUCAGAAAGCCACGGCUAACUACGUG
Molecule: ribosomal RNA, 497 nt
Filed under: uncultured bacterium
Lineage: Bacteria
Description: partial 16S ribosomal RNA
Rfam family: Bacterial small subunit ribosomal RNA
Source: RNAcentral